AUUCCAUCCCUCUACGAUAUCCCCACUCCAUAUCAGAUACAUAGUGUAUUUAGUGACCACCGUAUCGCCACCUUACAUUUUACCGCAGUACACACCAUAGUCAUUCCUACGUCAUCACCAUCGUGCGUGCUGCCGCAGUUCAUAUCAUCAUCUCACAAUUUAAAUUGCUAAAACAAUCUAUGAUUGAAAAUGUUAACGUUGUUUUACUAUCAUCCAAUAGUAUACAUAUACAAUAUGAAGAAAAAAAUCUAGCAGCUAGUUGAAAUGUAUCAAGAUGAUUAAGAUUGCAGUGUAUUAACAGCUAUUUUAGCAACUCUUCCAGUUGCAACUGCUAACAGUGAACGAUCUUUUUCAACAUUAAAAAGACUGAAAACAUAUUUACAAAACAACAUAUGUGAAAAUAGGUUGAAUGGUUUGGCAAUGAUGAAUAUACACAGUGAAAUAAUGAUAAACCCUGAUGAUGUCCUAAAUAAAUUAGCGACCAAAACUAGAAAA
This is a long non-coding RNA of Sipha flava (yellow sugarcane aphid), 495 nucleotides long. RefSeq lists it as uncharacterized. The transcript is spliced from 3 exons. The record is from RefSeq and is a predicted model, not a curated record. NCBI's taxonomy places the organism in Eukaryota, Metazoa, Arthropoda, Insecta, Hemiptera, Aphididae.